GAGUUUGAUCCUGGCUCAGAGUGAACGCUGGCGGCAGGCCUAACACAUGCAAGUCGAGCGGCAGCGGGUCCUUCGGGAUGCCGGCGAGCGGCGGACGGGUGAGUAAGGCAUCGGAAUCUGCCCUGAUGUGGGGGAUAACCUGGGGAAACCCAGGCUAAUACCGCAUACGACCUACGGGUGAAAGCGGGGGACCUUCGGGCCUCGCGCAGCAGGAUGAGCCGAUGUCCGAUUAGCUUGUUGGUGGGGUAAUGGCCCACCAAGGCGACGAUCGGUAGCCGGUCUGAGAGGAUGAUCGGCCACACCGGGACUGAGACACGGCCCGGACUCCUACGGGAGGCAGCAGUGGGGAAUAUUGGACAAUGGGCGCAAGCCUGAUCCAGCCAUGCCGCGUGGGUGAAGAAGGCCUUCGGGUUGUAAAGCCCUUUUGUUGGGAAAGAAAACCUGUCGGUUAAUACCCGGCGGGAAUGACGGUACCCAAAGAAUAA
Molecule: ribosomal RNA, 485 nt
Filed under: uncultured Gammaproteobacteria bacterium
Lineage: Bacteria; Pseudomonadati; Pseudomonadota; Gammaproteobacteria
Description: bacterial SSU rRNA
Rfam family: Bacterial small subunit ribosomal RNA
Source: RNAcentral